CAAGACCCUGCCUCCAAAAAGAAAAGAAAUUCUGAAUUUAUUCUUGGACAGCUUUUAGCAGCUACAUGCAAAGAACUUCCAGGCCCUAAAGAAAGUAGACGGACUGCCAAAGACCUUUGGGAAGUUGUUGUUCAAAUCUGUAGUGUGUCCAGUCAGCACAAACGAGGAAAUGAUGGCAGAGUUAGUUUAAUAAAACAGAGGGAAUCUACGUUAGGUAUCAUGUAUCGGAGUGAACUGCUUUCUUUUAUCAAAAAAUUACGAGAACCACUCGUUUUGACUAUUAUUUUAUCACUCUUUGUGAAACUUCACAAUGUUCGGGAGGACAUUGUGAAUGAUAUUACAGCUGAACACAUUUCUAUUUGGCCAUCUUCCAUUCCCAACCUC
Molecule: small RNA, 384 nt
Filed under: Pongo abelii (Sumatran orangutan)
Lineage: Eukaryota; Metazoa; Chordata; Mammalia; Primates; Hominidae
Description: processed transcript
Source: RNAcentral